Molecule: ribosomal RNA, 335 nt
Filed under: uncultured bacterium
Lineage: Bacteria
Description: SSU rRNA
Rfam family: Bacterial small subunit ribosomal RNA
Source: RNAcentral
AGGAUGAACGCUGGCGGCGUGCUUAAUACAUGCAAGUCGAGCGGUAAGGCCCCUUCGGGGGUACACGAGCGGCGGACGGCUGAGUAACGCGUGGGAACGUACCCCAAAGUGAGGGAUAAGCACCAGAAAUGGUGUCUAAUACCGCAUGUGCUCUAAGGAGUAAAGCUCCGGCGCUUUGGGAACGGCCUGCGUUCGAUUAGCUUGUUGGUGAGGUAAUGGCUCACCAAGGCGACGAUCGAUAGCUGGUCUGAGAGGAUGACCAGCCAGACUGGGACUGAGAACGGCCCAGACUCCUACGGGAGGCAGCAGUAGGGAAUUUUCCACAAUGGACGAAA